UCUUUGAUGGUCCAACGGUCAAGAUUCCCGCUUGUCACGCGGGCGACCGGGGUUCGACUCCCCGUCAGAGAG
RNAcentral lists this transfer RNA (72 nucleotides) under Taphrina deformans PYCC 5710. RNAcentral describes it as "tRNA-Asp (GTC) (tRNA-Asp-GTC-1-1, tRNA-Asp-GTC-1-2)". It matches the Rfam family "tRNA". From Rfam's summary of the family: Transfer RNA (tRNA) molecules are approximately 80 nucleotides in length. Their secondary structure includes four short double-helical elements and three loops (D, anti-codon, and T loops). Lineage: Eukaryota; Fungi; Ascomycota; Taphrinomycetes; Taphrinales; Taphrinaceae. The record is from RNAcentral.